GCCCGGCCGCGGUGGUGGGCGGGAGGAUGGUGGGCGGGCUCCGAGCCCAGCUCCACUGGCCCCGGCCGCGGGGCUCGCCCCUCCGUCCCCAAACGACCGUCUCCGCUGCCAUGAGAUGCCGACAGCCUGUGCGCUGGCCGCCACCCCCUGCUCCAUCAGGUGCUGGAAUCUGAGUAAAAGCCUGGGCGCGAGCUCCCAGCCCCGGGGCCUGCCACCGGCUCCACGAAGCGGGCAGCUCCAGCGGCCGCCGGGAGAAGGAAGGGCGACCGGGGGAGACGGGUCGCAGGGACAGCACGUGGCGGAAAGUUAGCCCCGGACUAGCACGCCCCACCCGGAGAAGCCGGCCUGGAAGGGGCUGCGGACCACCAGGCGGAGCGGUGGGCGACCGAAGUGCGGCUGGGCUGGCCUCCUCGUCUCCGCACUGGAAGAAUUGCCCUUCCGCAAGUCUUCCCUUCCCACAUGGGGGCCCUCCAGGCCGCACCUCGGUCGCCCACCGCUUCCCUUGAGAAGGGAGACUAAAGACAGGCAUCUGGAAGCUGUCACUGUGGCGCGCGGGCAGACAGGGGAUCCCAUUGGAGAGGAAGAGCCGUAGUAGUCGCUGCUGCCUUCGGCCGACCCAACGGCCGCCUGCUUGGGAGGAAGAAAAAGAACGCCCCCGCUGAAGAAUUAAGGCAGCCAUUGGUUGCUCUAGGGGGUUACAAGAUGGGCAGUACAAUAGAGGAUGGACUGGAGUUGGAAAAGACUAAAGCAGCAAGUUUGAUAAGGAGGCUACAGCAAUAGUCCAGGUGAAAGACGCAAGAGCCCAAAAUGCAGCAGUGGCCAAGGGAAUGGAUCUGAGAUAAAGUUCAGAAGAUAGAGUUGGCAGGGCAGGUGAGUUUAUCUUUAAUCCAGGAGAAGAGAAGAAGGCCACAUGAAGAUGGAGCAAGAGAUUGGAGUGAUGUGGCCACAAGCCAAGGAAGCUGAGGAAUGAAGACAGCUAUCAGAAGCUGGAAGAGGAAAAGAAUUCUCUCUUGGGGUCUGCAGAGGGAGAACAGCCCUGCCAACACUUCCAUUUCCAAUGUCUGGACUCUAGAACUGUGAGAAAAUAAAUUCCCAUUAUUUUAAGGAACACAGUUUGUGAUACUGCAUUACAGCAGCUCCAUGAAACAAAUACAUUUUGUUAUUCCAAGUCCUCUUCACAACAAAGUCUUUGCUAGUGGUGAACCAAACACAGUCCCACCAUCAUGAGCCACUGUUCUGGAUGAGGGGGCAACACAGUUCAGACACUGGUCAUCUCUAUUUAAUGUCUAAUGGGCAUCUCAAACCUAACUUUCUCCCAGUGGAAAUGCCUGGAGGUACGUGGAGAUGGAAAGCUGACCUAGCCAAGGAGUUCAGCAAAGAUCCCUGGGAGGAGGUGACAUCUGGACAUCUGCACAGAAUAAUGAGGCUGGGCUAAGGCAGUGACUGAGGGAGGCACUCUUUUUUGGUUUUUCUUUUCUUUUCUUUUGUGUAGGAAGGAAAGAAUAGCCAGGAGAGAUAGAGGAGAAAGAGGAUAAAGAUAGACAGGAAAGAGGUAACACAAGAAGUCAGGACCUGCGCUUGAGGGGCAGAAGUCAAGUCGGGCUAAGGUGAGAAGGCAGAACAGGGUUCAGGGUCUUUGAAGAGAAACAAGUACAGAGCUGGAACUAAGUGAUGCUGACUCCAGACUAAAACCCUCUGGGUUUGAAUCCUGCCUCUGCCACUUACUUAUUCAUUACAAAAUAGCGAGAAAUUACAUUAUCUGGAUCUUGGUCUCUUCAACUAUAAAACAAAAAUAAUAAUAGCUCCUAUCUCAUAGGAUGCUAUUAGGAGUACUAAGUAUAUUAACACCUGUAAAGCACUUGGCUCAAUGUCUGGCACUGCAUAUGCAAUAAAUGUCAUUAUUACUAUUAACAUUAUUAGAAGAAGCAGCAAAUUUAAAAUCAGAAUGUGAGCACUGGAAAGGACUUCAGAAUCAACUAAUCUAAUUCCCCCAUUGUACAAAUGAACAGACUGAGGCCCAGAGAGGUUUGAAAUUGGCCAAAUUUAAGGAGAUAGGAACAGAGCCGAGAUGACAAAAUUGCUUGAAAGUCUGUGCUUUUUCUAGGUGAACUAUACAUAUAUAUUUGGGAAUCAUAAGAAUAUAAGCAGUGAUUGAAUCUGAGGAAAUAGAGUUACUCAGGAAGAACACAAGAAUUAGUACAGAAUGCUGAAAGAAGAAUGAAAAUAGAUUUGAAGUCAACUUGAUUCAAAUAUCCCAAUGUAAUGGUAUUAGGAAGUGGUGCCUUUUUGAGGUAAUUGGGUCAUGAGGGUGGAGUCCUCAUGAGUGGGAUUAGGGCCCUUAUAAGGGGCUGAAGAGACCAGAGUUUUCCCUUCCACCAACUGAAGACUCAUAUAGAAGGUACUAUUUAUGAACCAGAGGGUAGGUCCUCAGCAGACACCAAAUCUGCUGCAACCUUGAUCUUGGACUUCCCAGUCUCCAGAAAUGUGAGAAACAAAUUUCUAUUGUUUAAAAGCCACCCAGUUUAUAGUAUUUUGUUAUAGCAGCCUGAAUGGGCUAAGACACCAUUAAACUUUGAAACUUGGUUUUUCCACAUGUAAAAUCAGGAUACACGUAGAAAACCUGCUGAUGCCUUUAAAAAAUUUUAAACCCAUAUGUUCUAAAGUUGGUAACAGAGGAAGACUUUCCACAAGAUGGAGGAAAGUCUUUUACUCCAGAUCUUAAAAUUAACCUUACUCUUGGGGUAUAAGGUUACUCACACUAAUGUCUGCUGGAGCCACAAUCAGCAAACUGGCUUUAGGGGUACAAAGCAUGGAUUUUACAGUUUCUCUCAUUGCCAUAGUAUGGUUGAGACAGCUUAUAAUAUUUAUGCAAGAUACUACUAAAGAUGGACCCCUCAUGUUGGAGCUGGACAUAGGACUUUUUUCUUCUCUUUCUAGAUUUCUUCCAUAGAUACAUUCAUCUAAUCCCAUAGCUUUAAAAUACCACCUCAAAGCCAAAGACUCAAAUUUAUACCUCUAGCUCUGACCUACUCCUGAGCUCCAGACUUAUAUGUCCAAUUGCUUGCUCUAGAUUAUUACUUAGAUAUCUAAUGGUCAUUCAAAUAUAACAUUUCCAAAAUGGGAUGCUUGACUUCCUGCUCCCAAACCAGUUCUUCCUGCAAUAUUCUCAAUCUUGGUAAACUUAUAUCCAAUUGAUAUAGUUUGGAUAUCUGUACCCACCCAAAUCUCAGGUUGAAUUGUAAUCCCCAGUGCUGGAG
Molecule: long non-coding RNA, 3257 nt
Filed under: Homo sapiens (human)
Lineage: Eukaryota; Metazoa; Chordata; Mammalia; Primates; Hominidae
Description: HSALNT0320398
Source: RNAcentral